AAUUGUUUCCGAAAUGCUGUUGUUUUUGCCGGUUUAUUAUGUAGUUUUUAGUAGCAGUGCAAAAACAUUUGAUUUUCUCAGUUUGUUCAUUGUAAGAAAAGUGUUGUUAACAAUAUCAGUAUUGAUGUUAUCAAGUGAGGAAGUGUUAUCCAAGGAUAAUAUAAUACCGUCUUUUGUUUAAUGUUGGAUCGUUAAAAGGAAAUAAUUACCCUUUGUUGAAAACUGGAUCCCUUUAAUAUGAUCGUCCUGGAUAGUCCUGGAAUGUUAGCAGAUAACUAAUGCAGCUUACCCAAGGAUCACUGAGAGGACACUACAAGGAAGGUUGAAAACUGGUUCCCUUUAAUAUGAUCGUCCUGGAUAGUCCUGGAAUGUUAGCAGAUAACCAAUGGGGUUUACCCAAGGAUCACUGAGAGGACACUACAAGGAAGGUUGAAAACUGGAUCCCUUUAAUAUGAUCGUCCUGGAUAGUCCUGGAAUAUUUGCAGAUAACCAAUGGGGUUUACCCAAGGAUCACUGAGAGGACACUACAAGGAAGGUUGAAAACUGGUUCCCUUUAAUAUGAUCGUCCUGGAUAGUCCUGGAAUGUUAGCAGAUAACCAAUGGGGUUUACCCAAGGAUCACUGAGAGGACACUACAAGGAAGGUUGAAAACUGGAUCCCUUUAAUAUGAUCGUCCUGGAUAGUCCUGGAAUAUUUGCAGAUAACCAAUGGGGUUUACCCAAGGAUCACUGAGAGGACACUACAAGGAAGGUUUACAACUCUAUCCAUUUAGGAUGAUGACCUUGCACAGCACUGAAAUUGGGACUGAUUACCAAUGGGACUAACUCAAGGAGCAUAUGGUGGACACUUUAUAGAAAGGCAAAUUCUCCAGUCCACAUAUGGAACGAAGGGCAAGUGGAUAUAACAGUAGAAGAAAUGGUACAUCUUCCAGUGCAGUCACCAGACGAGGACCACCUUACCAAUCGGCUGCCUUUGGAAUCGUCCUUCCAGGAUCAUGCGGACAUCCAGGAGAGGCCUUCUUCAGGACCCCUCGCCUCUCCAGGGACGCCGUCCAUCAACGGGGGUCAUUUCUAACGGGUGAGGAUAGCUCCCAACGGUAAGGGUCAUCUUUCAACGGCUGGAGCCGUCUUCCCAUGGUAAGAAGUCCCUUUCAACGGCGAGGAUCACCGCUCGUAGGUAAGACUUAUCCCUUCGCGAACGGGAACACCUUCAAGUGGUUUGAAGGUGAUCCUCUCUGUGGAAGGGUGGCACUUGUGUCACUUCUUCCUCAGAUAAGAUCAUCUUCAAGCAACUUGGUGGUGAUUUCUGUUUGCGCAGGUAUAAGUCAAGCCUUCGAAUGGGGAUCUAAGUCGUUGAAGGUGCUUCUAACCACCGGGAAGACCGCUUGCGGCCAUUGAAAGGUGGCAGUUACCACUUGGGGGGUAUCCAAACCUGCUGGAAAUGACCCCGCGCGCGGACAGGGGACGCACGUCCCCCACCGGCGUCGAAUAACAAAAACCUUCGACGUAGGGAUGCAC
Long non-coding RNA from Agrilus planipennis (emerald ash borer), 1516 nucleotides. RefSeq lists it as uncharacterized. The transcript is spliced from 10 exons. NCBI's taxonomy places the organism in Eukaryota, Metazoa, Arthropoda, Insecta, Coleoptera, Buprestidae. The record is from RefSeq and is a predicted model, not a curated record.